Molecule: long non-coding RNA, 1513 nt
Filed under: Malus domestica (apple)
Lineage: Eukaryota; Viridiplantae; Streptophyta; Magnoliopsida; Rosales; Rosaceae
Description: long non-coding RNA (MDOM_LNC011828)
Source: RNAcentral
GUAGAACUCGAUAUGGAAGACGAAGCCAUCGCAGCUUGUUGAUCUAAUAACCUUCUCCUCUUUAGCAAACACAAGUGCUUUCCAAACAAUAGGUAUUUGGUACAAAAGAAGCAGACAUUGCAAGAGCAGUGAUUAUGAUCAUAUAUAUAUAUGGUCGUUCUAAUCAUUCCCCUAUUAGAAUUCUUAUAGAACUCGAACAAGUAAUCCAUAUUACAAGUGACUCUUAAAAGAUAAAGUACAGAGAUAAGUCCCUCAACAACAAGGACUUGUACUUAUAAUCCUACAAGAAAAAGGAUUUCACUAAGCUUAUCAACAGGACUAUUCCAUUCAAAAGAUUUAUACGACUCGGCUCUUUCAAUUCAUACUCAUACUCUUACAUUCUCCCACUUGAGUAUGACAUAUGAUUAACAGCCUUAUAAAUCAUGGAAGUGAUCACUAAGUCCAUACCAACAGAAAACUUAUCUUCACAUUCGACGUUACUCAAGCACUUCAAAGCAUGGAACUCAUAAGUCUCCUUUGUCCAUCACAAAAUUAACUUAAGAAUCACAGCAUGCCUAAAUUGCUCUCUGUGUUCAUGUGAACGUAUAUAUUCAGUAAUGUCAAAAUAAUUACUCCCACUUUUCCAAUAUAACCUCAACACAAAAAUUGUCAAGACAUCAGUUAAUGAUCAAAACUUAUUAACCGCAACCAUCUUAUAUCAGAACAGCAUAUUCAAUAGUUCAAAAAAGGUAUUCUGCAACAAAAUCACAAAGUGACUUUCUAGCAAACCAAACUAUCAAAUAAAAUAUGUUCUCUGGUACAAUUGAUCACAAAGUUUGAAAAUUGAACCCUUAAUGAGAACCAAAACAAACACUAACAACUAGAUAAGCAUAACUAAGCCAACUAGACUACCUUAGUUCUGGGAAUCUUCAAGCUCAUCGUUGCCAUGUUCUAACUGAACAAAAGCAACUAUCUUCAAGCCUUUAAACAGUGCACUCCCACUUAUCUAGGCCAUACUUAACACAACCAAGUUAAGUACAAGUUAAUAGCAACUAUAUUAACUAAAAAUCAUUCCAAUACAAUGAAUGACUAAUCAGAAUCCAUAUGGAAACCAAAUUCGUUUCCUUUUGAAUGCUAACAUAAUAGGAUUCUUCUCAUUACUUAAACAAAUUAAGUAACACAAAUAAUUUAACCAAUUGCUUCAAUAAAACCAUAAACUGGUUUUUAAGCAUCUUGAUGAAUUAUAAUGGCCGGCUUAAAUACUCUUAGCCUUAUGCUUACAUUCGAAUAUAUGAUUCUCCCACUUAAGCAUAAGCAGAAUGUACUACACAGCCGAUAAAGAAACCGGAGAUAUGAACCAAUUGGUUCCCGAUUCCUCACCAAUUGCAUAAUCUCAGUUUAGUCAUAUACACCUAAACCAUUAUGCAAACAGUCUAUGUAUCAAAAGAUAGUCACAAUCCAUUUGGAAAAACUUAUCUCACAUAAACCCAAAAUCACUAGUUUCAACAAUGAUCAAAAUCAGAAUAGUAAGCAC